UCUGCCUAGUAGUGGGGGACAACGUUUCGAAAGGAACGCUAAUACCGCAUACGUCCUACGGGAGAAAGUGGGGGAUCUUCGGACCUCACGCUAUUAGAUGAGCCUAGGUCGGAUUAGCUAGUUGGUAGGGUAAAGGCCUACCAAGGCGACGAUCCGUAACUGGUCUGAGAGGAUGAUCAGUCACACUGGAACUGAGACACGGUCCAGACUCCUACGGGAGGCAGCAGUGGGGAAUAUUGGACAAUGGGCGAAAGCCUGAUCCAGCCAUGCCGCGUGUGUGAAGAAGGCCCUCGGGUCGUAAAGCACUUUAAGUUGGGAGGAAGGGCUCAUAGCGAAUACCUGUGAGUUUUGACGUUACCAACAGAAUAAGCACCGGCUAACUUCGUGCCAGCAGCCGCGGUAAUACGAAGGGUGCAAGCGUUAAUCGGAAUUACUGGGCGUAAAGCGCGCGUAGGUGGCUUGAUAAGUUGGAUGUGAAAUCCCCGGGCUCAACCUGGGAACUGCAUCCAAAACUGUCUGGCUAGAGUGCGGUAGAGGGUAGUGGAAUUUCCAGUGUAGCGGUGAAAUGCGUAGAUAUUGGAAGGAACACCAGUGGCGAAG
Molecule: ribosomal RNA, 600 nt
Filed under: Pseudomonas sp.
Lineage: Bacteria; Pseudomonadati; Pseudomonadota; Gammaproteobacteria; Pseudomonadales; Pseudomonadaceae
Description: bacterial SSU rRNA
Rfam family: Bacterial small subunit ribosomal RNA
Source: RNAcentral